AAUGUUUACUUCCUUGAAUCACCUGUGUUCUGCACAGUUUACAACUUGCAAUGGCUCGCACCGUACUGACCAUUCUCCUCAUUGCGGCUUUAAUUUCGGCAACUUUUGCCUCCCCCACGCAAAAUGAGGAUGAAGAGGGCGAUAGCGGCAUUAGAGAGGAACGUUGGAGUUGGUUUAGAAGUAUUGCCAGAGUGGCUUGGGGAGUGGUAAAGGACUAUGCAAGAAAUAACUAAUCUCUGCGCAAGAUGAAUUUUGUCGAUGCACCCAUAAUUAUGCCAUACAUCGUCGCAGGUCUGCAAAACAAUCUAGGUGUUAUUAUUUGUGGGCAAUUUAUUAAAAUAAAUUCAGAAGAUUGGAUGAACAAAACUGCACAUUAAAUAUAUUGUGUUCUUUGUUUUCUUUCACACUAGCAACUUAAAUUGUCCAUCAAAAUCCUUUUGUACGCAUUACGAAAAAUUAUAAUCUCUAAGUUAAAAAGAGACAGACUUAUUUUUAUAUAGAGAGUUAUAUUGAGAAAAUAUUUAAAAAAAAAAAAAACACGAAUUUUUGAAUAAUUUUGUUAAUUUAUCGAAGUUUCUAUCAUUAAU
Long non-coding RNA from Neocloeon triangulifer, 587 nucleotides. RefSeq lists it as uncharacterized. Lineage: Eukaryota; Metazoa; Arthropoda; Insecta; Ephemeroptera; Baetidae. The record is from RefSeq and is a predicted model, not a curated record. The transcript is spliced from 4 exons.